CAGCCGCCGCGGUAAUACGGAGGGUGCAAGCGUUAAUCGGAAUUACUGGGCGUAAAGCGCACGCAGGCGGUCUGUCAAGUCAGAUGUGAAAUCCCCGGGCUUAACCUGGGAACUGCAUUUGAAACUGGCAGGCUAGAGUCUUGUAGAGGGGGGUAGAAUUCCAGGUGUAGCGGUGAAAUGCGUAGAGAUCUGGAGGAAUACCGGUGGCGAAGGCGGCCCCCUGGACAAAGACUGACGCUCAGGUGCGAAAGCGUGGGGAGCAAACAGGAUUAGAUACCCGCGUAGUCCCUGUCUCUUAUAU
RNAcentral lists this ribosomal RNA (301 nucleotides) under uncultured bacterium. RNAcentral describes it as "partial 16S ribosomal RNA". It matches the Rfam family "Bacterial small subunit ribosomal RNA", at positions 509 to 809 of the family's 1533-position model. The record is from RNAcentral.